UUUAAGUGCAACCAUAAGUUUCCGUAUCCAACUUUGACGGUCCGUCUUAUUCGAAAUUUUUUUAUAAUUAGUAUUUUUAUUGUUAUGGGAUGAUAAAACAUAAAUAGUACUUUAUACGUGACUUAUUUUUUUAUUUUUUUUCAAAUAAGACGUGCGAUCAAAGUUUAGCACGAAAAAUCAUGGUUGCACUUAAA
Oryza barthii is the source of this 194-nucleotide non-coding RNA. Lineage: Eukaryota; Viridiplantae; Streptophyta; Magnoliopsida; Poales; Poaceae. The record is from Rfam.